GUACUGAUAUGGCUUUAUAAGACAGUUAUAAGUUAUACUGAUAUGGCUUUAUAAGACAGUUAUAAGUUAUACUGAUAAGGCUUUAUAAGAGAGUUAUAAGGUAUACGGAUAUGGCUUUAUAAGAGAUUUAUAAGUUAUACUGAUAUGGAUUUAUAAGACAGUUAUAAGUUAUACUGAUAUGGCUUCAUAAGACAGUUAUAAGUUAUACUGAUAUGGCUUUAUAAGACAGUUAUAAGUUAUACUGAUAUGGCUUUGUAAGACAGUUUGUGUAAAGUUACGUGAAAUUCCUCUUUUCUGGUGUUUUGUAGGUGUUUUGUUCUCCAGGGUCUCUGGAGCAGAAGUGGAGAUGAGGGUCAGGCCAGGAGACAAUGUCACUCUCUACUGCGACUGUGUUUGGAAGUUAGGAUUUAAUCCAGUUUGGUUUAGAAACUCCUCAUGUCAGCAUGAAGCUCCUCUCGUGAUAUCUUUUCUCACGCAUGGUGAUCCUCAACAUUACACAUUUGUGUGGAAUCCCUCCGAACAAACUCAUGAUCUGCUGGUGAAGAACGUCUCUGAGUCAGAUCUGGGUCUGUACUACUGCGCUGUACAGGAGAAGAAGGUCACCAAAGAUGAAGCUGGAGUUAUACGCGAACAGGAUGUUUAUCAUUAUGGAAACAGAACCACUCGCCUCUCCCUCCUUGUCCCUUGUACCGCCGACAUUCCUCAGACCACCUCCACCCCUCCUUCAUCAGACUGUAGCGUCUGCUGGAAGCUGCUGGUCAGCAUGUGUCCUGUGUUUGUUCUCCUCUCCUCCACCUGUGUGUGCUGCAUCUGCAGAAACAGAUUCAAAGCAGCUGGUCAGGAACGGAGGAACAAAACGCCGAGUCGGAAGAGCAGAAAAACUGAAGAGGUUGAAGCAGAUGAGGUCUGCUAUGCCUCAUUGGACAUCCUGAGCAGAGGACAGAAGCGCCUGAUGAAGAAGAGAGUGGAGAGCUCAGAUUUCAGUACAUAUUCUGAGGUUAAAACUGAGAAAAUGUAA
Molecule: long non-coding RNA, 1018 nt
Organism: Pygocentrus nattereri (red-bellied piranha)
Lineage: Eukaryota; Metazoa; Chordata; Actinopteri; Characiformes; Serrasalmidae
Source: Ensembl